RNAcentral lists this transfer RNA (74 nucleotides) under Camelus bactrianus (Bactrian camel). It matches the Rfam family "tRNA". From Rfam's summary of the family: Transfer RNA (tRNA) molecules are approximately 80 nucleotides in length. RNAcentral also lists the same sequence under 1 other name. Lineage: Eukaryota; Metazoa; Chordata; Mammalia; Artiodactyla; Camelidae. The record is from Rfam by way of RNAcentral.
GGAGUGUACAGCUCAAGUGGUAGAGCGGACGCCUAGCGUGCGUGAGGUUCUGGGUUCAAUCCUCAGUACCUCCU